Molecule: transfer RNA, 86 nt
Filed under: Paludibacteraceae bacterium
Lineage: Bacteria; Pseudomonadati; Bacteroidota; Bacteroidia; Bacteroidales; Paludibacteraceae
Also listed under: 1 other name
Description: tRNA-Leu
Rfam family: tRNA
About the family: Transfer RNA (tRNA) molecules are approximately 80 nucleotides in length.
Source: RNAcentral
GCCGCGAUGUUGGAAUUGGUAGACAAGAAAGACUUAAAAUCUUUUGCCCAGUGAUGGGCGUGCCGGUUCGACCCCGGCUCGCGGUA